Molecule: ribosomal RNA, 243 nt
Filed under: uncultured bacterium
Lineage: Bacteria
Description: partial 16S ribosomal RNA
Rfam family: Bacterial small subunit ribosomal RNA
Source: RNAcentral
GAUCAUGGCUCAGGACGAACGCUGGCGGCGUGCUUAACACAUGCAAGUCGAACGAAGCUUGAUUACGGAUUCUUCGGAUGAAGUAUGAUAUGACUGAGUGGCGGACGGGUGAGUAACGCGUGAGUAACCUGCCCUUCANAGGGGGAGUAGCGUUUGGAAACGAACGGUAAUACCGCAUAAUGUAUUUUGUACCGCCAUGAUCGAAAUACCAAAGAAUUUAUUCGCUGAAGGAAUGGACUCGCG